UACGUAGGGUGCGAGCGUUAAUCGGAAUUACUGGGCGUAAAGGGUGCGCAGGCGGCCCUGUAAGACCGGUGUGAAAUCCCCGGGCUCAACCUGGGAAUUGCGCUGGUGACUGCAGGGCUAGAGUACGGUAGAGGGGGGUGGAAUUCCUGGUGUAGCAGUGAAAUGCGUAGAGAUCAGGAGGAACACCGAUGGCGAAGGCAGCCCCCUGGGCCUGUACUGACGCUCAUGCACGAAAGCGUGGGGAGCAAAC
RNAcentral lists this ribosomal RNA (250 nucleotides) under uncultured bacterium. RNAcentral's name for it is "partial 16S ribosomal RNA". It matches the Rfam family "Bacterial small subunit ribosomal RNA", at positions 524 to 773 of the family's 1533-position model. The record is from RNAcentral. RNAcentral also lists the same sequence under 2 other names.